UUAAGUUAAAAGUAAACAUAUAUAUUAGGUGUAAAUUGAAUUUGUUAAAAAAUUUGCAUAAAGUACACAGCGAAAGCGGCAGUAAAAAAGCGCAUGCAAGCUCGCUCGAUCGAUUGAAUGGGAGCCAUGUGAGGACUUAGCUGAGCUGCUUGACAAAUUUACGUAUUUAAACUACAGCAACAACAACAACAACAACAGGAAAAG
This 204-nucleotide small RNA is filed under the name Drosophila mojavensis. RNAcentral describes it as "GI25726". Lineage: Eukaryota; Metazoa; Arthropoda; Insecta; Diptera; Drosophilidae. The record is from RNAcentral.